AUAUAGAGAUACUUUUUUAACAGACCCAUCCAUCCAACUACAAAAAUGUUUUAUUAGCAACAGUAAUUUCUUUCAGUACAAAUAGGAGAAGUGAUAGAUUAGUAUGAUAAAUUCAAACAUCAUAUACUUCCUUGUACCAUGCUUUUUGAAGGGAAAUACAGGAACCCUGUCUAUUCAACAGACACAGUAAGUGUAGCAUGUUAAUAUAGAGGUUAAGUAAGGCUGUUCAUUGUUGGGUGUAGUCGUGUGGGAGCUCUAACUGAAUCUAUAACAGACUUACUGCUACCCAUGCACUGAACAUACUCCCUCUGCACUAACUUUGACUCAUUCACUAAGAUGUCCUACGUGUCUGCACUCCAUACACUGUUGAAAUGCUGGACCAAUGUGAACCAACAUGACCAGAGGAAAAAAUACAAGUAAUCCACGUUCUGUUCAAAGCUCUGAAGAAAAAAGAUUUCUAUCGAGUGCGAGGACAAUGUCGAUGGAUGUCAUGGUGUUAUUGUCUAUGAUGAUGAAACAUUCCCAAUUUCUAUCCAGCGGAUGACUGCCUACAGUGAUGGACAAGGCCUGCAGAGGUCUGUGAGAGUUUUCCAAUGGCCCCUUUACAUUGGCGAGGACAUUGCAGUGUUGCAGGGUUCUCCAGAGAAUGUCAGGGAUUCAAACACCAGUCUUGAGGAGGAGGUUGAUGAAGAUGAAUAACUCCAAACAACCAGGCAUCAACAUCUUACCUUUGAAAUGCCUGAUAAGCUUGAAUCCUGAAUACUACAAAUUCAUUUCACAUUUUUUCACAUGUUUUUUUUAAUGCAAUGGACACUAAAAUGAAUGACAAACUUUUUGGUGGUUAUUUACUCAUUCACACAUGUGAUCAGAAUAAUGGGAGACCCUACACAAUCUGAGCAUUGUAACUAUUUGACUAUUUGGGGUGGAAUAGAGGCAGUAUAAAAGAGGGGACUUAACUUGUUAUGACUCACAAUGACUCACAUUAGACUUUAAUAUAAUUAAUAUGUACAGAUGCCUCAUAUAUUUGUGUCAUUGUUUUCAAAUUUGAGACAGCUAUUCUUGUGUCUAUUGUCUGUAAUCCCUACUAACUCCUUCACCAAGCUUGUCUCCUAGAAAUGACCUACAACUAAACUGCAACAGCACAUACGUAUUGAAGGUGAUAUUCUGCUUUUAAUCCAUAAUUAACUAUUGCUGUAAUAAGAAUAUGUUGCUUAAAUAAGUCGCAAAUAUGUUGAUACUGAACAAAUCAGUAAAAUUAUCACAGACAAUGUAUUCAUUUUUGCCAGAAUAUCAAAUCUUGUUGUGUAUCCACUUAAGUAAUCACUACAGCAUUAUUUAACUUUUUUUUAGACAUUUCGUUAAGGUUACAGAAAGAUUGUGGUAAUACAGAAAAAGUGAACAGUAAAUUCAGACAUAAUGUGUUAAUGUAACAAAAAACAUGAUCUUUCCCUAACCUUGAACAAAAUUCUUUUAUAGUCUUAACUGAGCUACAGGAGGGACUCUGGAUGCAAGUCCCUGUCUCUGAUGGGACAAUUCUGCACUUUUUACACCCAGCAUCCACCCAAACCACCUCCUUGUGAAUUCACUACUGCUACUUACAAACAUAGAGCUUAAUUUAUUCCUUCACUCAAAAAAAAAUGUGCCUUGCAGUUUGGCUGUAUAUGAACUUAGGUUCUAGGAGACAGAGUUGCCUUAAAACUGACUUCAAUGAUUUAGAUGAAAAAAAAAAACUACAUUUUUGCUCACAUUAACAGAGGGAGUUUUUUAUUCUGACAUUCAAUGUGGUUUGUUAAAUUAUAUUUAUUUUGGGACAAUCAUAUUGGGUGCUUUGUGUCCAGCAUUAAAAGUGGAGAAUAAUA
Lates calcarifer (barramundi perch) is the source of this 1859-nucleotide long non-coding RNA. RefSeq lists it as uncharacterized. The record is from RefSeq and is a predicted model, not a curated record. NCBI's taxonomy places the organism in Eukaryota, Metazoa, Chordata, Actinopteri, Centropomidae. The transcript is spliced from 6 exons.